ACGUAGGGGGCGAGCGUUGUCCGGAUUUAUUGGGCGUAAAGAGCUCGUAGGCGGUUCGAUAAGUCGGAUGUGAAAUCUCCACGCUCAACGUGGAGAGGCCAUUCGAUACUGUCGUGACUCGAGUCCGGUAGGGGAGUGUGGAAUUCCCGGUGUAGCGGUGAAAUGCGCAGAGAUCGGGAGGAACACCCGUAGCGAAGGCGGCACUCUGGGCCGGUACUGACGCUGAGGAGCGAAAGCGUGGGGAGCAAACAGGAUUAGAUACCCUGGUAGUCCACGCCGUAAACGUUGGGCACUAGGUGUGGGACUCUAUCGACGGGUUCCGUGCCGUAGCUAACGCAUUAAGUGCCCCGCCUGGGGAGUACGGCCGCAAGGCUA
This 375-nucleotide ribosomal RNA is filed under the name uncultured bacterium. RNAcentral's name for it is "bacterial SSU rRNA". It matches the Rfam family "Bacterial small subunit ribosomal RNA", at positions 525 to 896 of the family's 1533-position model. The record is from RNAcentral.